GUGCUCUCUUCGGCAGCACAUAUACUAAAAUUGGAACGAUACAGAGAAGAUUGGCAUGGUCCCUGUGCAAGUGUGUGUUUUCAAAAGGCCCGCGGCACUCUAUCUCU
This is a small nuclear RNA of Sorex fumeus (smoky shrew), 107 nucleotides long. The record is from RefSeq and is a predicted model, not a curated record. Lineage: Eukaryota; Metazoa; Chordata; Mammalia; Eulipotyphla; Soricidae.